CCUACGGGCGGCUGCAGUGGGGAAUAUUGCACAAUGGGCGCAAGCCUAAUGCAGCCAUGCCGCGUGUGUGAAGAAGGCCUUCGGGUUGUAAAGCACUUUCAGCGGGGAGGAAGGCGGUGAGGUUAAUAACCUCAUCGAUUGACGUUACCCGCAGAAGAAGCACCGGCUAACUCCGUGCCAGCAGCCGCGGUAAUACGGAGGGUGCAAGCGUUAACCGGAAUUACUGGGCGUAAAGCGCACGCAGGCGGUCUGUCAAGUCGGAUGUGAAAUCCCCGGGCUCAACCUGGGAACUGCAUUCGAAACUGGCAGGCGAGAGUCUUGUAGAGGGGGGUAGAAUUCCAGGUGUAGCGGUGAAAUGCGUAGAGAUCUGGAGGAAUAGCGGUGGCGAAGGCGGCCCCCUGGACAAAGACUGACGCUCAGGUGCGAAAGCGUGGGGAGCAAACAGGAUUAGAUACCCCGGUAGUC
Molecule: ribosomal RNA, 465 nt
Filed under: uncultured Klebsiella sp.
Lineage: Bacteria; Pseudomonadati; Pseudomonadota; Gammaproteobacteria; Enterobacterales; Enterobacteriaceae
Description: bacterial SSU rRNA
Rfam family: Bacterial small subunit ribosomal RNA
Source: RNAcentral